This is a long non-coding RNA of Dermacentor silvarum, 915 nucleotides long. RefSeq lists it as uncharacterized. Lineage: Eukaryota; Metazoa; Arthropoda; Arachnida; Ixodida; Ixodidae. The record is from RefSeq and is a predicted model, not a curated record. The transcript has 3 exons.
UUUCGUUUUGUCUGUUUGGUUAACCUGUUUUACUUUGACCGAAAGGAAGAAAAAGACACCGUAGUCUAGUUGCUAGAGAACCGGCUGCUGUGACCCACGGCAGAAGUUCGAUUCCAUUAUAGGUUGCACAUCACUUGUUUGUAUUAUAAAGCGAGUUAGGAACCUACCUACCUACCGCAAAGUGCCAAGAAUGAGGCAUUAAAAAGUUCGACUUUUGUUAUUUCAAAUUAUCUUUGUAAGGUGGCGCUAGCAUUAUGGUAGCAGCCGCAUUUUGUAUUUUCUUAGUUAAAUUAGCUAGCAUUUCUGUGCUUCAGGUACCGAGUACGAAGCCACACUGAGUAUUUUUCUGCAUUGCAGCAGCGUGUGUCGCAAGAGGAUGCAGCGCCGUGACGUGUCAUAGCGGCUACCUGACAAAGCGAGGAGUGGCGCGACGGCUCAUCGGCGUCAUCGCUUGCGCCGACGCAGUCUGAGCAGCCAAGCGGACUGCGCUCUCCGCGCAGCUUCCCUCCAGAUUGCGUAACUUUUGAACCCGCCGUUACAUUGACCGUUAUUUUUGUCAGGACCAGCCGUUAAGUUCCUGACGCGUAUUCGUUCAUGAACUGCGGAGCGCCAGACUGCCUUCCACAUCUUCUUUGCUCACGCACAUACCUACGUGCAAGAGAGAAGGCGCGUGAGGGUGAAGACACCGAUCAUGUACCCUCUACAGGUGCCAAAUGGGCAGACGAAAACGCCGCCGCCCAAAGGGCCACCACGAAACUCCUGAACUCCAAGAACCCAGUAAGAAGACCUGCUGAAUUAAGGAGCUACAGCCCAGCAGCCUGUUCGAAACCAGGUUUAUCAAGGUCGAUACCUGUAAUGGACGUUACCCGGAGGCACUCAUAUUUAAUGUUGAUUGCUAGUUUGUCUAGUCGUGUU